UACGGAGGAUCCAAGCGUUAUCCGGAGUGACUGGGCGUAAAGAGUUGCGUAGGUGGCAAUGUAAGCGAGUAAUGAAAUAGUGUGGCUCAACCAUACUGCUAUUAUUUGAACUGUAUUGCUUGAGAGCGAGAGAGGUAGAUGGAAUUCCCAGUGUAGGAGUAAAAUCCGCAGAUAUUGGGAGGAACACCAAUGGCGUAGGCAGUCUACUGGCUCGUAUCUGACACUGAGGCACGAAAGCGUGGGGAGCGAACCGG
Molecule: ribosomal RNA, 254 nt
Filed under: uncultured bacterium
Lineage: Bacteria
Description: partial 16S ribosomal RNA
Rfam family: Bacterial small subunit ribosomal RNA
Source: RNAcentral